Molecule: ribosomal RNA, 638 nt
Filed under: uncultured bacterium
Lineage: Bacteria
Description: bacterial SSU rRNA
Rfam family: Bacterial small subunit ribosomal RNA
Source: RNAcentral
AGAGUUUGAUACUGGCUCAGAUUGAACGCUGGCGGCAGGCCUAACACAUGCAAGUCGAGCGGAUGAUGGGAGCUUGCUCCCGGAUUCAGCGGCGGACGGGUGAGUAAUGCCUAGGAAUCUGCCUGGUAGUGGGGGACAACGUUUCGAAAGGAACGCUAAUACCGCAUACGUCCUACGGGAGAAAGCAGGGGACCUUCGGGCCUUGCGCUAUCAGAUGAGCCUAGGUCGGAUUAGCUAGUUGGUGGGGUAAAGGCCUACCAAGGCGACGAUCCGUAACUGGUCUGAGAGGAUGAUCAGUCACACUGGAACUGAGACACGGUCCAGACUCCUACGGGAGGCAGCAGUGGGGAAUAUUGGACAAUGGGCGAAAGCCUGAUCCAGCCAUGCCGCGUGUGUGAAGAAGGUCUUCGGAUUGUAAAGCACUUUAAGUUGGGAGGAAGGGCAGUAAGUUAAUACCUUGCUGUUUUGACGUUACCAACAGAAUAAGCACCGGCUAACUUCGUGCCAGCAGCCGCGGUAAUACGAAGGGUGCAAGCGUUAAUCGGAAUUACUGGGCGUAAAGCGCGCGUAGGUGGUUUGGUAAGAUGGAUGUGAAAUCCCCGGGCUCAACCUGGGAACUGCAUCCAUAACUGCCUGAC